This 23-nucleotide microRNA is filed under the name Tetraodon nigroviridis (spotted green pufferfish). RNAcentral's name for it is "Tni-Mir-31_5p (mature (guide))". The record is from RNAcentral. Lineage: Eukaryota; Metazoa; Chordata; Actinopteri; Tetraodontiformes; Tetraodontidae.
AGGCAAGAUGCUGGCAUAGCUGC